Molecule: ribosomal RNA, 478 nt
Filed under: uncultured bacterium
Lineage: Bacteria
Description: partial 16S ribosomal RNA
Rfam family: Bacterial small subunit ribosomal RNA
Source: RNAcentral
GAUGAACGCUGGCGGCGUGCUUAACACAUGCAAGUCGAACGAGAAAUGGAGACGGAACCCUUCGGGCGGAAGGCUUCAUUUCGAGUGGCGGACGGGUGAGUAACGCGUGGGUAACCUGCCUCAUACAGGGGGAUAACAGUUGGAAACGACUGUUAAUACCGCAUAAGACCACAGCACCGCAUGGUGCGGGGGUAAAAACUCCGGUGGUAUGAGAUGGACCCGCGUUCGAUUAGCCAGUUGGCGGGGUAACGGCCCACCAAAGCGACGAUCGAUAGCCGAUCUGAGAGGAUGACCGGCCACAUUGGGACUGAGACACGGCCCAAACUCCUACGGGAGGCAGCAGUGGGGAAUAUUGCACAAUGGGGGAAACCCUGAUGCAGCGACGCCGCGUGAGUGAAGAAGUACUUCGGUAUGUACAGCUCUAUCAGCAGGGAAGAAAAUGACGGUACCUGAGUAAGAAGCCCCGGCUAACUACGUG